ACUAAGCGUACACGGUGGAUGCCCUGGCAGUCAGAGGCGAUGAAGGACGUGCUAAUCUGCGAUAAGCGUCGGUAAGGUGAUAUGAACCGUUAUAACCGGCGAUUUCCGAAUGGGGAAACCCAGUGUGUUUCGACACACUAUCAUUAACUGAAUCCAUAGGUUAAUGAGGCGAACCGGGGGAACUGAAACAUCUAAGUACCCCGAGGAAAAGAAAUCAACCGAGAUUCCCCCAGUAGCGGCGAGCGAACGGGGAGCAGCCCAGAGCCUGAAUCAGUGUGUGUGUUAGUGGAAGCGUCUGGAAAGGCGCGCGAUACAGGGUGACAGCCCCGUACACAAAAAUGCACAUGCUGUGAGCUCGAUGAGUAGGGCGGGACACGUGGUAUCCUGUCUGAAUAUGGGGGGACCAUCCUCCAAGGCUAAAUACUCCUGACUGACCGAUAGUGAACCAGUACCGUGAGGGAAAGGCGAAAAGAACCCCGGCGAGGGGAGUGAAAAAGAACCUGAAACCGUGUACGUACAAGCAGUGGGAGCACGCUUAGGCGUGUGACUGCGUACCUUUUGUAUAAUGGGUCAGCGACUUAUAUUCUGUAGCAAGGUUAACCGAAUAGGGGAGCCGAAGGGAAACCGAGUCUUAACUGGGCGUUAAGUUGCAGGGUAUAGACCCGAAACCCGGUGAUCUAGCCAUGGGCAGGUUGAAGGUUGGGUAACACUAACUGGAGGACCGAACCGACUAAUGUUGAAAAAUUAGCGGAUGACUUGUGGCUGGGGGUGAAAGGCCAAUCAAACCGGGAGAUAGCUGGUUCUCCCCGAAAGCUAUUUAGGUAGCGCCUCGUGAAUUCAUCUCCGGGGGUAGAGCACUGUUUCGGCAAGGGGGUCAUCCCGACUUACCAACCCGAUGCAAACUGCGAAUACCGGAGAAUGUUAUCACGGGAGACACACGGCGGGUGCUAACGUCCGUCGUGAAGAGGGAAACAACCCAGACCGCCAGCUAAGGUCCCAAAGUCAUGGUUAAGUGGGAAACGAUGUGGGAAGGCCCAGACAGCCAGGAUGUUGGCUUAGAAGCAGCCAUCAUUUAAAGAAAGCGUAAUAGCUCACUGGUCGAGUCGGCCUGCGCGGAAGAUGUAACGGGGCUAAACCAUGCACCGAAGCUGCGGCAGCGACGCUGAUGCGUUGUUGGGUAGGGGAGCGUUCUGUAAGCCUGUGAAGGUGUACUGUGAGGUAUGCUGGAGGUAUCAGAAGUGCGAAUGCUGACAUAAGUAACGAUAAAGCGGGUGAAAAGCCCGCUCGCCGGAAGACCAAGGGUUCCUGUCCAACGUUAAUCGGGCAGGGUGAGUCGACCCCUAAGGCGAGGCCGAAAGGCGUAGUCGAUGGGAAACAGGUUAAUAUUCCUGUACUUGGUGUUACUGCGAAGGGGGACGGAGAAGGCUAUGUUGGCCGGGCGACGGUUGUCCCGGUUUAAGCGUGUAGGCUGGUUUUCCAGGCAAAUCCGGAAAAUCAAGGCUGAGGCGUGAUGACGAGGCACUACGGUGCUGAAGCAACAAAUGCCCUGCUUCCAGGAAAAGCCUCUAAGCAUCAGGUAACAUCAAAUCGUACCCCAAACCGACACAGGUGGUCAGGUAGAGAAUACCAAGGCGCUUGAGAGAACUCGGGUGAAGGAACUAGGCAAAAUGGUGCCGUAACUUCGGGAGAAGGCACGCUGAUAUGUAGGUGAAGUCCCUCGCGGAUGGAGCUGAAAUCAGUCGAAGAUACCAGCUGGCUGCAACUGUUUAUUAAAAACACAGCACUGUGCAAACACGAAAGUGGACGUAUACGGUGUGACGCCUGCCCGGUGCCGGAAGGUUAAUUGAUGGGGUUAGCCGCAAGGCGAAGCUCUUGAUCGAAGCCCCGGUAAACGGCGGCCGUAACUAUAACGGUCCUAAGGUAGCGAAAUUCCUUGUCGGGUAAGUUCCGACCUGCACGAAUGGCGUAAUGAUGGCCAGGCUGUCUCCACCCGAGACUCAGUGAAAUUGAACUCGCUGUGAAGAUGCAGUGUACCCGCGGCAAGACGGAAAGACCCCGUGAACCUUUACUAUAGCUUGACACUGAACAUUGAGCCUUGAUGUGUAGGAUAGGUGGGAGGCUUGGAAGUGUGGACGCCAGUCUGCAUGGAGCCGACCUUGAAAUACCACCCUUUAAUGUUUGAUGUUCUAACGUUGACCCGUAAUCCGGGUUGCGGACAGUGUCUGGUGGGUAGUUUGACUGGGGCGGUCUCCUCCUAAAGAGUAACGGAGGAGCACGAAGGUUGGCUAAUCCUGGUCGGACAUCAGGAGGUUAGUGCAAUGGCAUAAGCCAGCUUGACUGCGAGCGUGACGGCGCGAGCAGGUGCGAAAGCAGGUCAUAGUGAUCCGGUGGUUCUGAAUGGAAGGGCCAUCGCUCAACGGAUAAAAGGUACUCCGGGGAUAACAGGCUGAUACCGCCCAAGAGUUCAUAUCGACGGCGGUGUUUGGCACCUCGAUGUCGGCUCAUCACAUCCUGGGGCUGAAGUAGGUCCCAAGGGUAUGGCUGUUCGCCAUUUAAAGUGGUACGCGAGCUGGGUUUAGAACGUCGUGAGACAGUUCGGUCCCUAUCUGCCGUGGGCGCUGGAGAACUGAGGGGGGCUGCUCCUAGUACGAGAGGACCGGAGUGGACGCAUCACUGGUGUUCGGGUUGUCAUGCCAAUGGCACUGCCCGGUAGCUAAAUGCGGAAGAGAUAAGUGCUGAAAGCAUCUAAGCACGAAACUUGCCCCGAGAUGAGUUCUCCCUGACUCCUUGAGAGUCCUGAAGGAACGUUGAAGACGACGACGUUGAUAGGCCGGGUGUGUAAGCGCAGCGAUGCGUUGAGCUAACCGGUACUAAUGAACCGUGAGGCUUAACC
RNAcentral lists this ribosomal RNA (2893 nucleotides) under Escherichia coli O25:H16. RNAcentral describes it as "bacterial LSU rRNA". It matches the Rfam family "Bacterial large subunit ribosomal RNA". The record is from RNAcentral. Lineage: Bacteria; Pseudomonadati; Pseudomonadota; Gammaproteobacteria; Enterobacterales; Enterobacteriaceae.